Molecule: ribosomal RNA, 334 nt
Filed under: Enterococcus faecium
Lineage: Bacteria; Bacillati; Bacillota; Bacilli; Lactobacillales; Enterococcaceae
Description: bacterial SSU rRNA
Rfam family: Bacterial small subunit ribosomal RNA
Source: RNAcentral
CCUUAUGACCUGGGCUCACACGUGCUACAAUGGGAAGUACAACGAGUUGCGAAGUCGCGAGGCUAAGCUAAUCUCUUAAAGCUUCUCUCAGUUCGGAUUGCAGGCUGCAACUCGCCUGCAUGAAGCCGGAAUCGCUAGUAAUCGCGGAUCAGCACGCCGCGGUGAAUACGUUCCCGGGCCUUGUACACACCGCCCGUCACACCACGAGAGUUUGUAACACCCGAAGUCGGUGAGGUAACCUUUUUGGAGCCAGCCGCCUAAGGUGGGAUAGAUGAUUGGGGUGAAGUCGUAACAAGGUAGCCGUAUCGGAAGGUGCGGUUGGAUCACCCUCUAA